Molecule: ribosomal RNA, 254 nt
Filed under: uncultured bacterium
Lineage: Bacteria
Description: partial 16S ribosomal RNA
Rfam family: Bacterial small subunit ribosomal RNA
Source: RNAcentral
UACGUAGGUGGCAAGCGUUGUCCGGAUUUACUGGGCGUAAAGAGCGCGCAGGCGGUCGUUCAAGUCGCGUGUGAAAGCCCCCGGCUCAACUGGGGAGGGUCACGCGAUACUGAUCGACUCGAAGGCAGGAGAGGGUAGUGGAAUUCCCGGUGUAGUGGUGAAAUGCGUAGAUAUCGGGAGGAACACCAGUGGCGAAGGCGACUACCUGGCCUGUUUCUUGAUGCUGAGGCGCGAAAGCUAGGGGAGCAAACGGG